This 253-nucleotide ribosomal RNA is filed under the name uncultured bacterium. RNAcentral's name for it is "partial 16S ribosomal RNA". It matches the Rfam family "Bacterial small subunit ribosomal RNA", at positions 524 to 776 of the family's 1533-position model. The record is from RNAcentral.
UACGUAGGCAGCAAGCGUUGUUCGGAGUUACUGGGCGUAAAGGGUGUGUAGGCGGCUUUGCAAGUCGGGUGUGAAAUCCCUCAGCUCAACUGAGGAAGUGCGCCCGAAACUGCUUAGCUUGAGUGCCGGAGAGGAUGGCGGAAUUCCCCAAGUAGAGGUGAAAUUCGUAGAUAUGGGGAGGAACACCCGUGGCGAAGGCGGCUCUCUGGGACGGUAUUGACGCUGAGACGCGAAAGCGUGGGGAGCGAACAGG